This 88-nucleotide transfer RNA is filed under the name Serratia marcescens. Its description in RNAcentral is "tRNA-Ser". It matches the Rfam family "tRNA". Rfam says of the family: Transfer RNA (tRNA) molecules are approximately 80 nucleotides in length. Their secondary structure includes four short double-helical elements and three loops (D, anti-codon, and T loops). The record is from RNAcentral. Lineage: Bacteria; Pseudomonadati; Pseudomonadota; Gammaproteobacteria; Enterobacterales; Yersiniaceae.
GGAGGGGUGGCCGAGUGGCUGAAGGCAACGGUCUUGAAAACCGUCGAGUGUAACAGCUCCCAGAGUUCGAAUCUCUGUCCUUCCGCCA